RNAcentral lists this ribosomal RNA (230 nucleotides) under uncultured microorganism. RNAcentral describes it as "partial 16S ribosomal RNA". It matches the Rfam family "Bacterial small subunit ribosomal RNA", at positions 524 to 753 of the family's 1533-position model. The record is from RNAcentral.
UACGGAGGGGGCUAGCGUUGUUCGGAAUUACUGGGCGUAAAGCGCACGUAGGCGGCUUCGCAAGUCAGAGGUGAAAGCCCGGAGCUUAACUCCGGAAUUGCCUUUGAGACUGCGUCGCUAGAAUCCGGGAGAGGUGAGUGGAAUUCCGAGUGUAGAGGUGAAAUUCGUAGAUAUUCGGAAGAACACCAGUGGCGAAGGCGGCUCACUGGACCGGUAUUGACGCUGAGGUG